This 85-nucleotide transfer RNA is filed under the name Vampirovibrio sp. Its description in RNAcentral is "tRNA-Leu". It matches the Rfam family "tRNA". From Rfam's summary of the family: Transfer RNA (tRNA) molecules are approximately 80 nucleotides in length. Lineage: Bacteria; Bacillati; Candidatus Melainabacteria; Vampirovibriophyceae; Vampirovibrionales; Vampirovibrionaceae. The record is from RNAcentral.
GCCGAUGUGGCGGAAUUGGUAGACGCAAACGACUCAAAAUCGUUCGGAGAAAUCCAUGUCAGUUCGAGUCUGACCAUCGGCACCA